This 87-nucleotide transfer RNA is filed under the name Candidatus Eiseniibacteriota bacterium. RNAcentral describes it as "tRNA-Ser". It matches the Rfam family "tRNA". From Rfam's summary of the family: Transfer RNA (tRNA) molecules are approximately 80 nucleotides in length. Their secondary structure includes four short double-helical elements and three loops (D, anti-codon, and T loops). Lineage: Bacteria; Candidatus Eiseniibacteriota. The record is from RNAcentral.
GGAGAGGUGUCCGAGUGGUCGAAGGAGCGCGCCUCGAAAGCGCGUAGGCCCUAGCUGGUCUCGUGGGUUCGAAUCCCACCCUCUCCG